GGCGGCGUGCCUAAUACAUGCAAGUCGAGCGAACAGAUAAGAGAGCUUGUCUCCUUUGACGUUAGCGGCGGACGGGUGAGUAACACGUGGGUAACCUACCUAUAAGACUGGAAUAACUCCGGGAAACCGGGGCUAAUGCCGGAUAACAUAUAGAACCGCAUGGUUCUAUAGUGAAAGAUGGUUUUGCUAUCACUUAUAGAUGGACCCGCGCCGUAUUAGCUAGUUGGUAAGGUAAUGGCUUACCAAGGCGACGAUACGUAGCCGACCUGAGAGGGUGAUCGGCCACACUGGAACUGAGACACGGUCCAGACUCCUACGGGAGGCAGCAGUAGGGAAUCUUCCGCAAUGGGCGAAAGCCUGACGGAGCAACGCCGCGUGAGUGAUGAAGGGUUUCGGCUCGUAAAACUCUGUUAUUAGGGAAGAACAUAUGUGUAAGUAACUGUGCACAUCUUGACGGUACCUAAUCAGAAAGCCACGGCUAACUACGUGCCAGCAGCCGCGGUAAUAACGUAGGUGGCAAGCGUUAUCCGGAAUUAUUGGGCGUAAAGCGCGCGUAGGCGGUUUCUUAAGUCUGAUGUGAAAGCCCACGGCUCAACCGUGGAGGGUCAUUGGAAACUGGGAAACUUGAGUGCAGAAGAGGAAAGUGGAAUUCCAUGUGUAGCGGUGAAAUGCGCAGAGAUAUGGGAGGAACACCAGUGGCGAAGGCGACUUUUCUGGUGCUGUAACUGACGCUGAUGUGCGAAAGCAGUGGGGGAUCAAACAGGCAUUAGAUACCGCUGGUAGUUCCACGCCGUUAAACGAUGAGUGUCUAAGUGUUAGGGGGGUUUUCCGCCCCUU
This 837-nucleotide ribosomal RNA is filed under the name Staphylococcus gallinarum. RNAcentral's name for it is "bacterial SSU rRNA". It matches the Rfam family "Bacterial small subunit ribosomal RNA", at positions 38 to 841 of the family's 1533-position model. Lineage: Bacteria; Bacillati; Bacillota; Bacilli; Caryophanales; Staphylococcaceae. The record is from RNAcentral.